RNAcentral lists this ribosomal RNA (468 nucleotides) under uncultured bacterium. RNAcentral's name for it is "partial 16S ribosomal RNA". It matches the Rfam family "Bacterial small subunit ribosomal RNA", at positions 28 to 507 of the family's 1533-position model. The record is from RNAcentral.
GACGAACGCUGGCGGCGUGCUUAACACAUGCAAGUCGAACGGAAGGGCCCUGCUUUUGUGGGGUGCUCGAGUGGCGAACGGGCGAGUAACACGUGAGUAACCUGCCCUUGACUUUGGGAUAACUUCAGGAAACUGGGGCUAAUACCGGAUAGGAGCUCCUGCUGCAUGGUGGGGGUUGGAAAGUUUCGGCGGUUGGGGAUGGACUCGCGGCUUAUCAGCUUGUUGGUGGGGUAGUGGCUUACCAAGGCUUUGACGGGUAGCCGGCCUGAGAGGGUGACCGGCCACAUUGGGACUGAGAUACGGCCCAGACUCCUACGGGAGGCAGCAGUGGGGAAUAUUGCACAAUGGGCGGAAGCCUGAUGCAGCAACGCCGCGUGCGGGAUGACGGCCUUCGGGUUGUAAACCGCUUUCGCCUGUGACGAAGCGUGAGUGACGGUAAUGGGUAAAGAAGCACCGGCUAACUACGUG